GCGGAAAUGGCGAAAUUGGUAGACGCACCAGACUUAGGAUCUGGCGCCGCAAGGCAUGGAGGUUCGAGUCCUCUUUUCCGCACCA
This 85-nucleotide transfer RNA is filed under the name Helicobacteraceae bacterium. RNAcentral's name for it is "tRNA-Leu". It matches the Rfam family "tRNA". From Rfam's summary of the family: Transfer RNA (tRNA) molecules are approximately 80 nucleotides in length. Their secondary structure includes four short double-helical elements and three loops (D, anti-codon, and T loops). Lineage: Bacteria; Pseudomonadati; Campylobacterota; Epsilonproteobacteria; Campylobacterales; Helicobacteraceae. The record is from RNAcentral.